UUCCCUUUGUCAUCCUAUGCCUGAGAAUACUGGAGAGGCAGGGACAGCAAAGGGAUGC
Molecule: microRNA precursor, 58 nt
Filed under: Xenopus laevis (African clawed frog)
Lineage: Eukaryota; Metazoa; Chordata; Amphibia; Anura; Pipidae
Description: Xla-Mir-204-P1d_pre stem-loop
Rfam family: mir-204 microRNA precursor family
Source: RNAcentral